UACGUAGGCGGAAAAUUAAGUCAGUGGUGAAAUCCCGCAGCUCAACUGUGGAACUGUCAUUGAUACUGGUUUUCUUGAAUUUAGUUGAGGUAGGCGGAAUGUGUAAUGUAGCGGUGAAAUGCUUAGAUAUUACACAGAACACCGAUUGCGAAGGCAGCUUACUAAACUAUGAUUGACGCUGAGGUACGAAAGCGUGGGGAGCGAACAGGAUUAGAUACCCUGGUAGUCC
RNAcentral lists this ribosomal RNA (229 nucleotides) under uncultured bacterium. RNAcentral describes it as "partial 16S ribosomal RNA". It matches the Rfam family "Bacterial small subunit ribosomal RNA", at positions 568 to 796 of the family's 1533-position model. The record is from RNAcentral.